UACGGAGGGGGCGAGCGUUGUUCGGAAUUACUGGGCGUAAAGGGCGCGUAGGCGGCGACUCUAGUCAGAUGUGAAAGUCCUGGGCUUAACCUGGGGACUGCAUUUGAUACUGGGUUGCUUGAAUUCGGGAGAGGAUAGCGGAAUUCCCAGUGUAGAGGUGAAAUUCGUAGAUAUUGGGAAGAACACCGGUGGCGAAGGCGGCUAUCUGGACCGACAUUGACGCUGAGGCGCGAAAGCGUGGGGAGCAAACAGG
Molecule: ribosomal RNA, 253 nt
Filed under: uncultured bacterium
Lineage: Bacteria
Description: partial 16S ribosomal RNA
Rfam family: Bacterial small subunit ribosomal RNA
Source: RNAcentral